This 634-nucleotide ribosomal RNA is filed under the name Bacillus subtilis. RNAcentral describes it as "bacterial SSU rRNA". It matches the Rfam family "Bacterial small subunit ribosomal RNA", at positions 587 to 1220 of the family's 1533-position model. The record is from RNAcentral. Lineage: Bacteria; Bacillati; Bacillota; Bacilli; Caryophanales; Bacillaceae.
GUCUGAAUGUGAAAGCCCCCGGCUCAACCGGGGAGGGUCAUUGGAAACUGGGGAACUUGAGUGCAGAAGAGGAGAGUGGAAUUCCACGUGUAGCGGUGAAAUGCGUAGAGAUGUGGAGGAACACCAGUGGCGAAGGCGACUCUCUGGUCUGUAACUGACGCUGAGGAGCGAAAGCGUGGGGAGCGAACAGGAUUAGAUACCCUGGUAGUCCACGCCGUAAACGAUGAGUGCUAAGUGUUAGGGGGUUUCCGCCCCUUAGUGCUGCAGCUAACGCAUUAAGCACUCCGCCUGGGGAGUACGGUCGCAAGACUGAAACUCAAAGGAAUUGACGGGGGCCCGCACAAGCGGUGGAGCAUGUGGUUUAAUUCGAAGCAACGCGAAGAACCUUACCAGGUCUUGACAUCCUCUGACAAUCCUAGAGAUAGGACGUCCCCUUCGGGGGCAGAGUGACAGGUGGUGCAUGGUUGUCGUCAGCUCGUGUCGUGAGAUGUUGGGUUAAGUCCCGCAACGAGCGCAACCCUUGAUCUUAGUUGCCAGCAUUCAGUUGGGCACUCUAAGGUGACUGCCGGUGACAAACCGGAGGAAGGUGGGGAUGACGUCCAAUCAUCAUGCCCCUUAUCACCUGGGCUACACA